UACGGAGGAUCCGAGCGUUAUCCGGAUUUAUUGGGUUUAAAGGGUGCGCAGGCGGCUUUUUAAGUUGCCGGUGAAAUGUCGGGGCUCAACUCCGUCACUGCCGGCGAUACUGGAAGGCUUGAGAAUGGAGGAGGAUUCCGGAAUGUGUGGUGUAGCGGUGAAAUGCAUAGAUAUCACACAGAACACCGAUUGCGAAGGCAGGAGUCCACACCAUAUCUGACGCUGAGGCACGAAAGCGUGGGGAUCGAACAGGAUUAGAUACCCUGGUAGUCCACGCAGUAAACGAUGAGUGCUCGCGGUGCGCGAUAAACGGUGCGCCGCCAAGCGAAAGCGAUAAGCACUCCACCUGGGGAGUACGCCGGCAACGGUGAA
This 372-nucleotide ribosomal RNA is filed under the name uncultured bacterium. RNAcentral's name for it is "bacterial SSU rRNA". It matches the Rfam family "Bacterial small subunit ribosomal RNA", at positions 524 to 898 of the family's 1533-position model. The record is from RNAcentral.